This 270-nucleotide ribosomal RNA is filed under the name uncultured bacterium. RNAcentral describes it as "partial 16S ribosomal RNA". It matches the Rfam family "Bacterial small subunit ribosomal RNA", at positions 773 to 1046 of the family's 1533-position model. The record is from RNAcentral.
GUGGAUUAGAUACCCUGGUAGUCCACGCCGUAAACGAUGAUCACUCGUUGUUGGCGAUACACCGUCAGCGACUGAGCGAAAGCAAUAAGUGAUCCACCUGGGGAGUACGGCGGCAACGCUGAAACUCAAAGGAAUUGACGGGGGCCCGCACAAGCGGAGGAACAUGUGGUUUAAUUCGAUGAUACGCGAGGAACCUUACCUGGGCUUGAAAGGGGAUUGACCUCCCGGGAAACCGGGAUUCUCUUCGGAGCAAUCUCCUAGGUGCUGCAC